This 460-nucleotide ribosomal RNA is filed under the name uncultured bacterium. RNAcentral's name for it is "partial 16S ribosomal RNA". It matches the Rfam family "Bacterial small subunit ribosomal RNA", at positions 338 to 795 of the family's 1533-position model. The record is from RNAcentral.
CCUACGGGUGGCAGCAGUGGGGAAUAUUGGUCAAUGGGCGGAAGCCUGAACCAGCCAAGUCGCGUGAGGGAUUAAGGCCCUCUGGGUCGUAAACCUCUUUUGUCAGGGAGCAAGGUCGUCUACGUGUGGGCGUAUGGAGAGUACCUGCCGCAAAAGCAUCGGCUAACUCCGUGCCAGCAGCCGCGGUAAUACGCGGGAUGCGAGCGUUAUCCGGAUUUAUUGGGUUUAAAGGGUGCGUAGGCGGUACCUUAAGUCCGCGGGAAAAUUGCGGUGUUCAACGCCGUAGAGCAGUUGAAACUGUGGCUCGUGAGUGAGCGAGAAGUAUGCGGAAGGCGUGGUGUAGCGGUGAAAUGCAUAGAUAUCACGCAGAACCCCGAUUGCGAAGGCAGCAUACCGGCGCUCAACUGACGCUGAGGCACGAAAGUGCGGGUAUCGAACAGGAUUAGAUACCCUGGUAGUC